AUUGAACGCUGGCGGCAGGCCUAACACAUGCAAGUCGAACGAGUGGCGGACGGGUGAGUAAAGUCUGGGAAACUGCCUGAUGGCGGGGGAUAACAACUGGAAACGGUAGCUAAUACCGCAUACCAUUGGAUGUGCCCAAAUGGGAUUAGCUAGUAGGUGGGGGAAAGGCUCAACAAGGCGACGGUCCCUAGCUGGGCUGAUAGGAGGCCCAGCCACACUGGAACUGAGACACGGUCCAGACUCCUACGGGAGGCAGCAGUGGGGAAUUUUGCACAAUGGGCGAAACCCUGAUGCAGCCAUGCCGCGUGUAUGAAGAAGGCCUUCGGGUUGUAAAGUACUUUCAGCGGGGAGGCGUUACCUGCAGAAGAAGCACCGGCUAACUCCGUGCCAGCAGCCGCGGUAAUAC
This 406-nucleotide ribosomal RNA is filed under the name uncultured bacterium. RNAcentral's name for it is "partial 16S ribosomal RNA". It matches the Rfam family "Bacterial small subunit ribosomal RNA", at positions 30 to 526 of the family's 1533-position model. The record is from RNAcentral.